Long non-coding RNA from Selaginella moellendorffii, 620 nucleotides. RefSeq lists it as uncharacterized. The record is from RefSeq and is a predicted model, not a curated record. NCBI's taxonomy places the organism in Eukaryota, Viridiplantae, Streptophyta, Lycopodiopsida, Selaginellales, Selaginellaceae. The transcript is spliced from 3 exons.
ACCACCAUGGCCGCGGCGAAGAGAAGAAGAAGAAGAAGAAGAAGAAGGGGGGAAUUUCCAGUGGAAUCGAUGGAUGAUCGGCGUGAGAGGGCUCGACAAAAAUAUGGGCUGCGCUCGCUAGAAUCCAAAUCCAAAUGGAAAUCGAUUCGAGAGGUGGGAUUUGAGGAGAGGAAGGGGCCUUUCUUGACUGCCCGGAAUGCCUUCCCACGCUGUGACGUUUGCUCGGGCCCCUCUUACGCGUUUGCCGCUAUUUAACUUUCGCGUGUGCCCUAAAGUUUAGGGGACCUCUGUUUUAGGGCAGAAUCUUGGUGAGUCAAAAUCAAGGGGAAUCUGUGUGGAAGAUGAGGAGGAAUAUUUCUUUCAAGUUCAACGACGGUGGGGCAAUUUACUGGGAAGUGCUUUCAGCAUCAUUUAGCUUUCAACUAUACCAUAAGCGUAAGAAACACAGCAGCUUUAGGUACCUCAAAAGUUUGGAUGAUAAGUGUUGCACAAAGUGAUGUAAUCGUCCAUUCCAUCCCCUAGUCAUGAUCAUUCAAGGCAGUUGAGCAUUGCUUUGCAUCAGUUUUCAGAAGAGCUAAACAUGUAAUGUGUUCACCUCAUGAAAAGCAUGAACUUAUUCA